CUGAAUGAUCUCCAGGCUGACAUUGCAAAGGGAGGAGUUGCAAAUACCAGUGAGGAAGAGAAAUAAAAGUAAAGGUCUUGGGGAGAUUAGAAGCACGAGUAGGAAAGAAAACGUCGAAUCUUAGACAAAUGAAACUAAAAAAAGUGACCACAAAGUAAUCUCAAAUGCAGAAGAAGAAGAGGAGAGGGGAGACUGGGCCAGUGAAUAGAAGUCUUCAUCCCCAUCAACCUCAGCAUCUGCUCUAUGGACUCUAACUCCUCCAAUGGAAGGGAAGCCUCCAGGAGACGAGUUAGCGACGACACGGUCAUAUCAUACAAGCGGCAACACCCAGCGCAGAGAGGACUUGCGGGGAUCAAGCCAGCCAGCUACAGAGGGCAGCUCCAAAAACAUCCUAAUGGAAAGGUUAAUAAAAGAAAGAAAAUAUCAAAGUGGCGACUCUCCCUUAUAACAUGCACAUUGCAGUACUACACUACGUGAAAAGAAUUAACGGUAUCCACUCUACUGAAAGUUCUACAAUCCCGGGACGGCAGGAGGGUUCCGGGUUGAGGGAACUCUUCCAUCCAGCAUAGAGUUGUAGUAUCCAUUGCACACCAACCAUGCAUUAAUAGAUAAUAGGAGCAAUCCGACUCAUUAUGGAAGCACCUAGCUUUGCAAGAGAGGGAGCAGACAGGCUAAUUCAAGAUCUUGUUGUACAGCAGUGGGAGAGCAGUUGUUUGAUCUUUCAAUGCCCUGUAUUGUGUGUGGUCAUUUCCACCUGCGUGAAGUGGCUGUACAAGGCUGCUCGUCCUAGUAUUUGCUGUGGUUUGUUUUUGGAAAAGUUAGAGGAAUCUCACUUGGGUUGCAGCUCAAGACAGUGCUUAUUAUGUGUGAUCAUGACCAUUUAAUGUUUCCUGAGGAAUAUGGCUGCUGAAGAAAAUGCUUUGAUGCUUUCUGUCCAUGUUGGGUUUUGAUUGGCGAGUACAUGGUGCAACAGUCAAAGGAACCUAGUGGAUAUAGUGUACUUAGAUUUUCAGAAAUCUUU
Long non-coding RNA from Gopherus evgoodei (Goodes thornscrub tortoise), 1021 nucleotides. RefSeq lists it as uncharacterized. Lineage: Eukaryota; Metazoa; Chordata; Testudines; Testudinidae. The record is from RefSeq and is a predicted model, not a curated record. The transcript has 3 exons.